This 111-nucleotide non-coding RNA is filed under the name Hemiselmis andersenii. Lineage: Eukaryota; Cryptophyceae; Cryptomonadales; Hemiselmidaceae. The record is from RNAcentral.
CACCAAGGCUCCCCCGGAGCAAGGCCGAAAAGGCGAUUUGGCACGGAGAGGGUUAGCUUUGAGCAGGAAGGGUCGCUUGAGCACUCUUUUUCGCAGCAAGUGGGGGUCUAG